Molecule: transfer RNA, 75 nt
Filed under: Clostridium perfringens
Lineage: Bacteria; Bacillati; Bacillota; Clostridia; Eubacteriales; Clostridiaceae
Description: tRNA-Trp
Rfam family: tRNA
About the family: Transfer RNA (tRNA) molecules are approximately 80 nucleotides in length.
Source: RNAcentral
AAGAGUGUAGUUUAAUGGUUAAAACAAUGGUCUCCAAAACCGUAAAUGAAGGUUCGAUUCCUUUCACUCUUGCCA